RNAcentral lists this ribosomal RNA (482 nucleotides) under uncultured bacterium. RNAcentral's name for it is "partial 16S ribosomal RNA". It matches the Rfam family "Bacterial small subunit ribosomal RNA", at positions 30 to 507 of the family's 1533-position model. The record is from RNAcentral.
AUUGAACGCUGGCGGCAUGCCUUACACAUGCAAGUCGAACGGUAACAGGUCUUCGGAUGCUGACGAGUGGCGAACGGGUGAGUAAUACAUCGGAACGUGCCCGAUCGUGGGGGAUAACGAGGCGAAAGCUUUGCUAAUACCGCAUACGAUCUACGGAUGAAAGCGGGGGAUCUUCGGACCUCGCGCGGACGGAGCGGCCGAUGGCAGAUUAGGUAGUUGGUGGGAUAAAAGCUUACCAAGCCGACGAUCUGUAGCUGGUCUGAGAGGAUGAUCAGCCACACUGGGACUGAGACGCGGCCCAGACUCCUACGGGAGGCAGCAGUGGGGAAUUUUGGACAAUGGGCGAAAGCCUGAUCCAGCCAUGCCGCGUGCAGGAUGAAGGCCUUUGGGUUGUAAACUGCUUUUGUACGGAACGAAAAGCCUCUUUCUAAUAAAGAGGGGUCAUGACGGUACCGUAAGAAUAAGCACCGGCUAACUACGUG